RNAcentral lists this non-coding RNA (30 nucleotides) under Rattus norvegicus (Norway rat). Lineage: Eukaryota; Metazoa; Chordata; Mammalia; Rodentia; Muridae. The record is from RNAcentral.
UGAACAGGAACUGAACAGCUGGCUCCUGCU